AGAGUUUGAUCCUGGCUCAGAACGAACGCUGGCGGCGUGGAUAAGACAUGCAAGUCGAGCGCUAUACCUGGUGUAGCAAUACAUCAGGUGUGGAGCGGCGCAAGGGUGCGUAACACGUGGGUAAUUUGCCGUGAAGUUGGGGAUAACUCGCUGAAAGGCGAGCUAAUACCGGAUGUGGUUAUUGGGUGGCAUCACCUGGUAACUAAAGCUGGGGAUCGUAAGACCUGGCGCUUCAUGAUAAGCCCGCGGCCUAUCAGCUAGUUGGUGAGGUAACGGCUCACCAAGGCUAAGACGGGUAGCUGGUCUGAGAGGACGACCAGCCACACUGGAACUGAGACACGGUCCAGACACCUACGGGUGGCAGCAGUCGAGAAUUUUUCUCAAUGGGCGCAAGCCUGAAGGAGCGACGCCGCGUGGGGGAUGAAGGGUUUCGAUCCGUAAACCCCUGUCAUUCGUGAACAAUGCUUCAUCAUGAACAAUGGUGAAGUUGAUAGUAGCGAAG
Molecule: ribosomal RNA, 502 nt
Filed under: uncultured bacterium
Lineage: Bacteria
Description: bacterial SSU rRNA
Rfam family: Bacterial small subunit ribosomal RNA
Source: RNAcentral